CAUGGCUCAGGAUGAACGCUGGCGGCGUGCCUAAUACAUGCAAGUAGAACGCUGAAGCUUGGUGCUUGCACCGAGCGGAUGAGUUGCGAACGGGUGAGUAACGCGUAGGUAACCUGCCUCUUAGCGGGGGAUAACUAUUGGAAACGAUAGCUAAUACCGCAUAAAAGUCGAUAUCGCAUGAUAUUGAUUUGAAAGGUGCAAAUGCAUCACUAAGAGAUGGACCUGCGUUGUAUUAGCUAGUUGGUGAGGUAACGGCUCACCAAGGCGACGAUACAUAGCCGACCUGAGAGGGUGAUCGGCCACACUGGGACUGAGACACGGCCCAGACUCCUACGG
Molecule: ribosomal RNA, 336 nt
Filed under: uncultured bacterium
Lineage: Bacteria
Description: bacterial SSU rRNA
Rfam family: Bacterial small subunit ribosomal RNA
Source: RNAcentral